GCCGAAAUAGCUCAGUUGGGAGAGCAUUAGACUGAAGAUCUAAAGGUCCCUGGUUCGAUCCCGGUUUUCGGCA
Molecule: transfer RNA, 73 nt
Filed under: Perca fluviatilis (European perch)
Lineage: Eukaryota; Metazoa; Chordata; Actinopteri; Perciformes; Percidae
Rfam family: tRNA
About the family: Transfer RNA (tRNA) molecules are approximately 80 nucleotides in length. Their secondary structure includes four short double-helical elements and three loops (D, anti-codon, and T loops).
Source: Rfam by way of RNAcentral